Molecule: ribosomal RNA, 451 nt
Filed under: uncultured bacterium
Lineage: Bacteria
Description: bacterial SSU rRNA
Rfam family: Bacterial small subunit ribosomal RNA
Source: RNAcentral
UACGGAAGGCAGCAGUGGGGAAUAUUGCACAAUGGGCGCAAGCCUGAUGCAGCCAUGCCGCGUGUAUGAAGAAGGCCUUCGGGUUGUAAAGUACUUUCAGUCGUGAGGAAGGUGUUAAGGUUAAUAACCUUAGCAAUUGACGUUAGCGACAGAAGAAGCACCGGCUAACUCCGUGCCAGCAGCCGCGGUAAUACGGAGGGUGCGAGCGUUAAUCGGAAUUACUGGGCGUAAAGGGCACGCAGGCGGUUAAUAAGUUGGAUGUGAAAUCCCCGGGCUUAACCUGGGAAUGGCAUUCAAGACUGGUUAGCUAGAGUCUUGUAGAGGGGGUAGAAUUCCAUGUGUAGCGGUGAAAUGCGUAGAGAUGUGGAGGAAUACCGGUGGCGAAGGCGGCCCCUGGACAAGACUGACGCUCAUGUGCGAAAGCGUGGGGAGCAAACGAGGAUUAGAUACC